RNAcentral lists this unclassified non-coding RNA (351 nucleotides) under uncultured Mortierella. Its description in RNAcentral is "sequence contains ITS2". The stretch from base 1 to 52 matches the Rfam family "5.8S ribosomal RNA", at positions 103 to 154 of the family's 154-position model. Lineage: Eukaryota; Fungi; Mortierellomycota; Mortierellomycetes; Mortierellales; Mortierellaceae. The record is from RNAcentral.
AACGCAUAUUGCGCUCUCUGGUAUUCCGGAGAGCAUGCUUGUUUGAGUAUCAGUAAACACCUCAAGUCUCGAGAUAUUAUUUUAAUAUUUCGAGAGUUGGAUUUGAGUGAUCCUAACUAAAAGUCGAAAGACUAGAAGGCAGGUCACUUGAAAUUCAGGUGCAGCUGAACUUUUCUUCUGAGCUAAAAGCAUUAUUUUAUUUAGUCUUUAUUGACUAUUACUUUUUGCUGCAGCUAAUAUAAAGGGAGAAGAGUUUCUUAAUGCUGACUGAUGCAGGAAUUUAUCAGUUUCUCGUAAAAAAGGACUGUUAGACUCGAUCUCAAAUCAAGUAAGACUACCCGCUGAACUUAA